RNAcentral lists this transfer RNA (75 nucleotides) under Ixodes scapularis (black-legged tick). RNAcentral's name for it is "tRNA-Ser". Lineage: Eukaryota; Metazoa; Arthropoda; Arachnida; Ixodida; Ixodidae. The record is from RNAcentral.
GGCGGAGUGGUGUUGUAGUUAGCAUAUACCCGACCAGAUAUUGGGAGGCCCGGAGUUCAAAUCCCGGCUCCGCUA